This 2188-nucleotide ribosomal RNA is filed under the name Metacrangonyx ilvanus. RNAcentral describes it as "partial 18S ribosomal RNA". It matches the Rfam family "Eukaryotic small subunit ribosomal RNA", at positions 148 to 1646 of the family's 1831-position model. The record is from RNAcentral. Lineage: Eukaryota; Metazoa; Arthropoda; Malacostraca; Amphipoda; Metacrangonyctidae.
CUGUGGUAAUUCCAGAGCUAAUACAUGCAACCUGCUUGCCCUGAUGGUGCCGCUUGGGUGCGUUCACGCGUGCUCCUGUGUGUGUGCCUGACGGGUGCUUUUAUUANACCAAACAUUGCUGGUGGCGCAAGCUGCUAGACUCGUGAUAUGGUGACUCUGGAUAACCUUUUGACAAGCGCACGUACUUCWUUCAUGGAGACGGCGCUGCCACUUUCGAGUGUCUGCCUUAUCAGCUAUCAACCGUUCGUUAUGUGCGACCGAUGGCUUUGACGGGUAACGGGGAAUCAGGGUUCGAUUCCGGAGAGGCAGCCUGAGAAACGGCUACCACGUCCAAGGACGGCAGCAGGCGCGCAAAUUACCCAAUCCCAGCAAUUGGGGGAGGUAGUGACGAUAUAUAACGAUGCGGGCGCCCAUUCUGGGCCUCGCAAUCGGAAUGAACAUUUUCUAAAACACCUGUUGAGAACCUACUGAAGGGCAAGUCUGGUGCCAGCAGCCGCGGUAAUUCCAGCUUCAGCGGCAUAUUUUAAAGUUGCUGCGGUUAAAAGGCUCGCAGUUGAAUGUCAGUGUUGGACGAUGGUAAGGUGGACGCUGGAGCAUGGGAUCUAUUCGCGCUCGCGUGCUGUUUGGUGGCCCGCGGCGUAGCGCUUACGCGUGAAACCCUCGCCAUCGGCUCUCGCGGGCGUCUCUCACAAGCUCCCGUCUGUUUGAAGCCUCCUCGCUCCAGUACAUAGGCGGUAACUCCUCUCGUCGGAUUGCGUGCGCCUCUGCCGGUCUAGCGAAAGCCGUCUCCUCCUCACUCGUUUUUUCGUUUGAUGGUUUUGGUCUCUAGCUUGGCGCCAAUGGCUUGGCGUCUUCGCGCCGAGGAGUGGGGCGUGGUCCUGCGCGCGAGUGUUGGCGUGCUUGUCUGAGGCGCGUGGGCGUCGGGGUCUUCCGACUUCGGCACAACCCUCGCGUUCUCUCUCGCAGGUCCCUCGCGUCUGCGCGCGUCUCUGUGUGCGUGUUGCCGCAUUGUCGCCUUGAGUAAAUCGGAGUGCUCAAAGCAGUCGUAAAGGGUUUCGGCCCUGUGAUGAGUCUUGACGGACUGUCUUGAUUUCGCAUGGUAUGUCGGAAAACGACGUCGAGUGCUGGCUAAGAGUCUAUAGAAGUGGUUUCAAGCCAAAGCCUCGACGUAAUGAUUAAAAGGAACGGUCGAGGGCAUUGGUAUUGCGAGGCGAGAGGUGAAAUUCUAUGACCCCCGCAAGACGGCCUGAAGCGAAAGCGUCUGCCAAGGACGUUUUYAUUAAUCAUGAACGAAAGUUAGAGGAUCGAAGGCGAUCAGAUACCGCCCUAGUUCUGACCCUAAACGAUGCCAACCAUCAAUCCGCGUGAGCACCCUUUUUGACGGGCUCGGCGGGCAGUUCUCUUUUCACGGUAAACCAGAGUCUCUGGGUUCCGGGGGGAGUCUGGUUGCAAAGCUGAAACUUAAAGGAAUUGACGGAAAGGCACCACCAGGAGUGGAGCCUGCGGCUUAAUUUGACUCAACACGGGCCAUCUCACCAGGCCAGAACUCUAGCACGAUUGACAGAUUGAGAGCUCUUUCUCGAUUGAGUGGAUGGUGGUGCAUGGCCGUUCUUAGUUGGUGGAGUGAUCUGUCUGGUUAAUUCCGAUAACGAACGAGACUCUCCCCUGCUAACUAGUCGGUUGGAUCUUGUAUUUCGAUGCGAGUCGUGCUCCGGGUUUUCCUUCGCCUCGUGGCGGCGUUGUGAGUUUCCUGUUUCGCGCUGGGCGUGUUCGUUCGUGGGCGCCGUUGCGCGAAAGCGUAGCUGUGUUCGCGUGCGUUCGUGCUUCGGCGUGGGGCUGGCUCUCUGCCGUUCGUUGCUUGGUGUGUCUGGUUUUCCCGGGUCGUACACUCCAAGUCCGCCGCUUAUGCUNUAAAACUCUUCUUAGAGGGAUCAACGGCUCUGAAGCCGNACGAGACUGAGAGCAAUAACAGGUCUGUGAUGCCCUUAGAUGUUCUGGGCCGCACGCGCGCUACAAUGCCGGGCACAGCAGGUGUUUUACCCACUCCGAAAGGAGCGGGCAACCCUCUGAAAACCCCAUCUCAUCWAAUGUAUCGGCUGGCGAGAAAUCGUCGGUCGUGUUCAUUGGCGUGCUUGGGCCUGGGGCUUGCAAUUCUUUCCCACAAACGAGGAAUGCCUAGUAGCGGCGG